CUGGAGGUUAAAACACUCUGAUUCUCUGCAAGAGUUCAGGAGGGAAAGACGACCUCUGUGUCUCUGCAGUAUGAUGAAGGAGAUUGGCUGAGGAGGAGAUUCAAGCAACGUUGUAU
RNAcentral lists this long non-coding RNA (116 nucleotides) under Pan troglodytes (chimpanzee). Its description in RNAcentral is "lncRNA (ENSPTRG00000054034.1)". Lineage: Eukaryota; Metazoa; Chordata; Mammalia; Primates; Hominidae. The record is from RNAcentral.